This 301-nucleotide ribosomal RNA is filed under the name uncultured bacterium. RNAcentral describes it as "partial 16S ribosomal RNA". It matches the Rfam family "Bacterial small subunit ribosomal RNA", at positions 509 to 807 of the family's 1533-position model. The record is from RNAcentral.
CAGUAGCCGCGGUAAUACAGAGGGUGCGAGCGUUAAUCGGAUUUACUGGGCGUAAAGCGUGCGUAGGCGGCCUUUUAAGUCGGAUGUGAAAUCCCUGAGCUUAACUUAGGAAUUGCAUUCGAUACUGGGAAGCUAGAGUAUGGGAGAGGAUGGUAGAAUUCCAGGUGUAGCGGUGAAAUGCGUAGAGAUCUGGAGGAAUACCGAUGGCGAAGGCAGCCAUCUGGCCUAAUACUGACGCUGAGGUACGAAAGCAUGGGGAGCAAACAGGAUUAGAUACCCGUGUAGUCCCUGUCUCUUAUAC